GGUCAUGAGCGCCAGCGCCAAGCCCCGGCUCGCUGGCCGGCAACCCUCCUGCGCGGCGGGGUGCUCCGGGUGAGGACCAGGCGACGACGGACGCCCCGUCGCCGCAAGCGCGGACU
RNAcentral lists this non-coding RNA (116 nucleotides) under Angustibacter sp. Root456. Its description in RNAcentral is "SAM (S-adenosyl methionine) riboswitch aptamer". It matches the Rfam family "SAM (S-adenosyl methionine) riboswitch aptamer". Rfam says of the family: SAM-IV is a mRNA element that regulates gene expression via direct sensing of S-adenosylmethionine (SAM or AdoMet). SAM-IV riboswitches share conserved nucleotide positions with the previously described SAM-I riboswitches sequence analysis and molecular recognition experiments suggest that SAM-I and SAM-IV riboswitches share similar ligand binding sites, but have different scaffolds. Lineage: Bacteria; Bacillati; Actinomycetota; Actinomycetes; Kineosporiales; Kineosporiaceae. RNAcentral also lists the same sequence under 1 other name. The record is from Rfam by way of RNAcentral.